RNAcentral lists this transfer RNA (69 nucleotides) under Ictidomys tridecemlineatus (thirteen-lined ground squirrel). RNAcentral's name for it is "Spermophilus tridecemlineatus (thirteen-lined ground squirrel) tRNA". It matches the Rfam family "tRNA". From Rfam's summary of the family: Transfer RNA (tRNA) molecules are approximately 80 nucleotides in length. Their secondary structure includes four short double-helical elements and three loops (D, anti-codon, and T loops). Further hydrogen bonds mediate the characteristic L-shaped molecular structure. tRNAs have two regions of fundamental functional importance: the anti-codon, which is responsible for specific mRNA codon recognition, and the 3' end, to which the tRNAs corresponding amino acid is attached (by aminoacyl-tRNA synthetases). tRNAs cope with the degeneracy of the genetic code in two manners: having more than one tRNA (with a specific anti-codon) for a particular amino acid; and 'wobble' base-pairing, i.e. permitting non-standard base-pairing at the 3rd anti-codon position. Lineage: Eukaryota; Metazoa; Chordata; Mammalia; Rodentia; Sciuridae. The record is from Rfam by way of RNAcentral.
GGGGUUGUGGCUCAUUGGUAGAGUGCUUGCCUAGCAUGCAGGAGGCACUGGGUUCCAUCCUCAGCACCA